This 492-nucleotide ribosomal RNA is filed under the name uncultured bacterium. RNAcentral's name for it is "partial 16S ribosomal RNA". It matches the Rfam family "Bacterial small subunit ribosomal RNA", at positions 29 to 507 of the family's 1533-position model. The record is from RNAcentral.
AGUGAACGCUGGCGGUAGGCCUAACACAUGCAAGUCGAACGGCAGCACAGUAAGAGCUUGCUCUUACGGGUGGCGAGUGGCGGACGGGUGAGGAAUACAUCGGAAUCUACUUUUUCGUGGGGGAUAACGUAGGGAAACUUACGCUAAUACCGCAUACGACCUACGGGUGAAAGCAGGGGAUCUUCGGACCUUGCGCGAUUGAAUGAGCCGAUGUCGGAUUAGCUAGUUGGCGGGGUAAAGGCCCACCAAGGCGACGAUCCGUAGCUGGUCUGAGAGGAUGAUCAGCCACACUGGAACUGAGACACGGUCCAGACUCCUACGGGAGGAAGCAGUGGGGAAUAUUGGACAAUGGGCGCAAGCCUGAUCCAGCCAUACCGCGUGGGUGAAGAAGGCCUUCGGGUUGUAAAGCCCUUUUGUUGGGAAAGAAAAGCGGCAGGUUAAUACCCCGCUGUUCUGACGGUACCCAAAGAAUAAGCACCGGCUAACUUCGUG